ACCAGUGGGGAAUAUUGGGCAAUGGAGGAAACUCUGACCCAGCGACGCCGCGUGCGGGAUGAAGGCCUUCGGGUUGUAAACCGCUUUCAGUAGGGAAGAAGCGAAAGUGACGGUACCUACAGAAGAAGCACCGGCUAACUAUGUGCCAGCAGCCGCGGUAAUACAUAGGGUGCAAGCGUUGUCCGGAAUUAUUGGGCGUAAAGAGCUCGUAGGUGGUUCGUUACGUCGGAUGUGAAAAUCUGGGGCUCAACCCCAGACCUGCAUCCGAUACGGGCGAGCUAGAGUUUGGUAGGGGAGACUGGAAUUCCUGGUGUAGCGGUGGAAUGCGCAGAUAUCAGGAGGAACACCAAUGGCGAAGGCAGGUCUCUGGGCCAAUACUGACACUGAGGAGCGAAAGCGUGGGGAGCGAACAGGAUUAGAUACCCCG
This 427-nucleotide ribosomal RNA is filed under the name actinobacterium SCGC AAA044-N11. RNAcentral's name for it is "bacterial SSU rRNA". It matches the Rfam family "Bacterial small subunit ribosomal RNA", at positions 350 to 789 of the family's 1533-position model. Lineage: Bacteria; Bacillati; Actinomycetota; Actinomycetes. The record is from RNAcentral.